Molecule: long non-coding RNA, 412 nt
Organism: Symphalangus syndactylus (siamang)
Lineage: Eukaryota; Metazoa; Chordata; Mammalia; Primates; Hylobatidae
Source: RefSeq, a predicted model, not a curated record
GUUUAGAACGGGUCACGUGAGCGCCUCGCCUGGAUGUGAGUUUCAGCCAGGUCUGUGAAGGGGGUUUAAGAAGGUGAGGGCGGGAUAAACCUUUAUUAGUUGUUUUCUGUUUAUCACAGGUAUAGAGACAACAUUACCCAAGAGGUCAUGGUAGAAUCAACAGCUUGUUUUGUUUUCCUUAAACCGGGACCAAAAAUAAUUCCCCUCUGGUUGGUUCAGUGGCUUAUCAACUCUGGUACUUGGGGCAAGAAGAGUGAGAGUAUCGCACGAUCUUCUAAGGCAGCCUUGAAUACUGUGGCUCACAUAACAAUCUCCUGAAAUGGUUCCUUGAAGCUACCAAAUAGUCUUUCUGCUUUGCAGUGGGGUUUCUAGUAUUGGAAAUUCUGGGCAAACAUUAAAGGAUGUUAUAUUA